This 253-nucleotide ribosomal RNA is filed under the name uncultured bacterium. RNAcentral describes it as "partial 16S ribosomal RNA". It matches the Rfam family "Bacterial small subunit ribosomal RNA", at positions 524 to 776 of the family's 1533-position model. The record is from RNAcentral.
UACGUAGGGGGCAAGCGUUGUCUGGAAUCAUUGGGCGUAAAGCGCGUGUAGGCGGCUUCGUAAGUCCGUUGUGAAAGUCCAGGGCUCAACCCUGGAAUGCCGAUGGAUACUGCGGAGCUAGAGUCCGGAAGAGGCGAGUGGAAUUCCUGGUGUAGCGGUGAAAUGCGCAGAUAUCAGGAGGAACACCAAUGGCGAAGGCAGCUCGCUGGGACGGUACUGACGCUGAGACGCGAAAGCGUGGGGAGCAAACGGG